CUAGCAACUGGUAUACCUGGUUUGAAUAUCCGUGUGUUCUUGAACUGUAUCGCUGCAGUAUGUAUCCCCUGAGAACAAAAGGACAUGGGUCUUUUCUGCAAAUACCAACACUUGAAAUUUGCCCAAAUUACCUAAGUGGGCACACAAGCAAACAUGCACGUGCUGCAUCCUUCGUGUCACAAAGGUGUGAAGACCAAUUCAAGGCUUUAUCUGGCUAUGUCUGACCUCAAAUGUUGGUGCUGCAGAAGCUGGCCCAUGACUCUUCUCCUCUAUACACUACCUUUAGGUGACUACAUCCGAAGUUUCAACUAUCCCCCUAUAACUGAGCAAUCCCUCUAUGUUUUUAUUUAAAACAUUUUUCUCAAGUUUCAAACUGAAGUUUUCCUCUGCCUUCCAAACAGAUUGUCCUGGAUAUUUUACAGGUAUUUAUAAUUCAGCAUGUCAGCCAUAUAUCUGGCCCAACUUAUUUUCUAUGUUAUUUUGUUUGAGUGAACAGUCAAUAUGUGUUUUGAAAUGCAAACAUAUGUACAUAGUUUUUUUAUUAUUUGCACAUUUCACCUUUUUAUUAAUAGAUCAAAACCUUCUCAAAAUUUGAAGAGAUGACUCAUCAAUCUCUCUCAAGGCUCAACAAUCUGUUUGCAAAUUUUAAUGACACUUGUGUUCAAAGAGUUUUGGAGUAUUUUGUCAUAACAUGCUAACCACUUUUAAAUACAUUGUAAUGAAGUACAAGGCAUUUCCUCUGAAAAUUGUUUUGAAAUAUGUAUAAAAGUUUUAGAAA
Molecule: non-coding RNA, 778 nt
Organism: Macaca mulatta (Rhesus monkey)
Lineage: Eukaryota; Metazoa; Chordata; Mammalia; Primates; Cercopithecidae
Source: RefSeq, a predicted model, not a curated record